RNAcentral lists this ribosomal RNA (468 nucleotides) under uncultured bacterium. RNAcentral's name for it is "partial 16S ribosomal RNA". It matches the Rfam family "Bacterial small subunit ribosomal RNA", at positions 28 to 507 of the family's 1533-position model. The record is from RNAcentral.
GACGAACGCUGGCGGCGUGCUUAACACAUGCAAGUCGAACGGAAAGGCCCUGCUUUUGCUGGUUGCUCGAGUGCCGAACGGGUGAGUAACACGCGAGUAACCUGCCCCUGUCUUUGGGGUAACUUCUGGAAACUGGGGCUAAUACCGGAUAGGAUCUCUUGCUGCACGGUGGGGGUUGGAAAGUUUCGGCGGUUGGGGCUGGAUUCGCGGGUUAUCAGCUUGUUGGUGGGGUAGUGGCUUACCAAGGGUUCGACGGGUAGCCGGCCUGGGAGGGGAGCCGGCGACCUGAGGACUGAGAGAGGGCCCAGACUCGUACGGGAGGCAGCGGGGGAGAGUAUUACACAGUAAGCGGAAGCGUGAGGCAGCAGCGCCGCGAGCGGAAUGACGGCCUUCGAGUUGUGAACCGCUGUCGCCUGAGACGAGGCGUGAGUGACGGUAAUGAGUAAAAAAGCACCGGCUAACUACGUG